UACGUAGGGGGCAAGCGUUAUCCAGAUUUACUGGGCGUAAAGCGCGUGUAGGCGGCUGGUUAGGCGUGAUGUGAAAUCUUCCGGCUCAACCGGAAAACUGCAUUGCGAACCGGCCUGGCUAGAGUGCAGGAGAGGGAAGCGGAAUUCCAGGUGUAGCGGUGGAAUGCGUAGAGAUCCGGAGGAACACCAGCGGCGAAGGCGGCAUCCUGGACUGGUCCUGACGCUCAGGAGCGAAAGCGUGGGGAGCGAGCCGG
This 254-nucleotide ribosomal RNA is filed under the name uncultured bacterium. RNAcentral describes it as "partial 16S ribosomal RNA". It matches the Rfam family "Bacterial small subunit ribosomal RNA", at positions 524 to 776 of the family's 1533-position model. The record is from RNAcentral.